CUGAAUCAACUACUAACCCAACAAAAUCUCCAUCCCAACUAACUGAGAUUGUUUGAAAAAUAAUGUGCCAAUUGCAGCGGAAGGAUCUCCUUCAAGCCAAAGUUUAGUCGUUAAGGAGCAGGUCCAGGUUAUGCUACGUGAAAAGAGCACCAAAAUCUUACUCCAAUCCAAAAGUUAAUUGUCAGAAAUAAUGGCACUUUUUUUUAAAGGCAGCGGCACUGUACUUGAGCCAGAUCCAACUGUUUCAGUCACAAGAAAGAAACAAUGCCCAAAAUACAAUAGAAUUGCAAACAUGGAAUCUUUGCAAUAGUCUAAAACUAGAACGAGAAAAUGACUGAAAAUCCAAGAAAGAGAAUAUGAUGAAAAGAUUACCUAUGCAUUGCACUUUAAAAGAUGAGCACUUCCAUAAGGCAUCAUGCGCGAGAACCCAAUAAACCUUGAAAAAUUGUCACGUAGAAGAAGACAAUGGUAACGACCAUCGAGAAAAUGUUACUGUUUGAACAUGAUCCCUUCUCUGUCCUCUUCUUCUUCAGAGCCUUCAUUCGUUUAACUCUUGCAUGCUUCAGCCUUGUAAGCUCAGACAUUUCUCUAAGCAACUUCAUAUCAGCUGCCACAUGCAAUGAUGGACCCUUAGGGGGCAGGGGUGGUUUAGCACUCCUCUUUUUCCUUUUCUCCUUCACCAAUCCAUUCUCUGCACUAAUUUUCGCCAUAUCCCCUUUCUCACAUACAACUAUCUCCAAAUUUUCAAUAGAACUCAAUGUAUCCUCACUUGAACUUGACCCAUCACCACCCCUAGUCAUUCCAAUGGUACUAGGAGAUUCACUCCUUAGUCUAUCGAGCCUCUUGGCCUUUUCACCACUUGAACCCAGCCCUUUAACCACAUUAUCUUCGCUGGAACUCCCACCAAUUUCCAAAUCAACAAUGCUAUUACUUCUCCUAAUAACCAAAUGAUCCAUACAUACCCAAUGUCUGUCCUUUGCCCUUUAACCCUCAGAAAAGCCUACAAUCUAAACUUUUUUAAUGAGAGCAUAACUCACAAAUCCUUCAAUAAUCACAACCCAAACAACGUAAAGCCAUUGCUUUCCCCCUUGCAGCCCACAAUUAAAGCUAAAACCACGAUUUUAAUUGCAGCCAUAUUUUGGCAAUUAAAACUUCGAGAAAGUCAUAAUGUAUGUACUCAUUGCGUCUCCCUGUUAUUGAACAUAAGCCAAAAAGCCCAAGCUUCGUUUAAAACAAAUAAAUAAAUAAAUCUAAAGAUAAUGCAAAGAUCCUUCUGCAAAUUUAGAGAAUCUGCUAUGCAUGAACCACAUCCUCCCGUUUGAUUUCCGAGAAUAUGCAACAAAAGAAAAUAAAUAGCAGUUCCGACGGGUUUGGCAUCCAAGAGAACAAAAGUAUCCACGUAGCGGAAUCAAAUCAAAAGGUACAGGUCUUUUUUUAAAGAUGUAUAAACGAAGCAUGAAAAUAUUAAUUCAAAGAAUGUCGUCAUUAUUUCUCGAGAACCAAGAAAGAAACAAAAACGAAAAAUCACAGAAUGAAAAUGGUGGCAAACUGGCAAUUAGCAUGUACCAUCUCAAAGUCGCAGAGAAUUUUGGACAG
RNAcentral lists this unclassified non-coding RNA (1596 nucleotides) under Hevea brasiliensis (rubber tree). Lineage: Eukaryota; Viridiplantae; Streptophyta; Magnoliopsida; Malpighiales; Euphorbiaceae. The record is from RNAcentral.